CCACAAUGUGGACUUUUUUAUCCAAUUACACAAAACCACCCAAACCCAUGGAGAAGAAGAAGAAGGAGAAGAAGGUGAAAAAGAAGGAGCAGCCUCCACCCUAAAACCUCCAUCUUGCUUUAUAUCUAUUACUAUAUUCUAGAACCUUAAACUCUAGGUUUUCCACCCUGUGAUAUCACACACUUCUAUUCAAACUCCACACCCACAAUCCCAGUGCUGUCAUUCCAUUUUGGAAGCCUUCUCCACAGCCUCAGGUGGAAU
This is a long non-coding RNA of Vidua macroura (Pin-tailed whydah), 261 nucleotides long. RefSeq lists it as uncharacterized. Lineage: Eukaryota; Metazoa; Chordata; Aves; Passeriformes; Viduidae. The record is from RefSeq and is a predicted model, not a curated record. The transcript is spliced from 3 exons.